UACAGAGGUCUCAAGCGUUGUUCGGAUUCAUUGGGCGUAAAGGGUGCGUAGGCGGCGCGGUAAGUCGGGUGUGAAAUUUCGAGGCUUAACUUCGAAACUGCAUUCGAUACUGCCGUGCUUGAGGACUGGAGAGGAGACUGGAAUUUACGGUGUAGCGGUGAAAUGCGUAGAUAUCGUAAGGAAGACCAGUGGCGAAGGCAGCGUCCUGGGAAGCAUCUGACGCUCAGGUGCGAAAGCUAGGGGAGCGAACGGG
Molecule: ribosomal RNA, 253 nt
Filed under: uncultured bacterium
Lineage: Bacteria
Description: partial 16S ribosomal RNA
Rfam family: Bacterial small subunit ribosomal RNA
Source: RNAcentral